RNAcentral lists this unclassified non-coding RNA (147 nucleotides) under Botryosphaeria dothidea. RNAcentral's name for it is "sequence contains ITS2". Lineage: Eukaryota; Fungi; Ascomycota; Dothideomycetes; Botryosphaeriales; Botryosphaeriaceae. The record is from RNAcentral.
CAACCCUCAAGCUCAGCUUGGUGUUGGGACUCGCGGUAACCCGCGUUCCCCAAAUCGAUUGGCGGUCACGUCGAGCUUCCAUAGCGUAGUAAUCAUACACCUCGUUACUGGUAAUCGUCGCGGCCGCGGCCGUUAAAUCUUGCAUCA